This 419-nucleotide ribosomal RNA is filed under the name Bacillota bacterium. Its description in RNAcentral is "Firmicutes bacterium partial 16S ribosomal RNA". It matches the Rfam family "Bacterial small subunit ribosomal RNA", at positions 355 to 776 of the family's 1533-position model. Lineage: Bacteria; Bacillati; Bacillota. The record is from RNAcentral. RNAcentral also lists the same sequence under 1 other name.
UGAGGAAUAUUGCGCAAUGGGCGAAAGCCUGACGCAGCGACGCCGCGUGGGGGAUGAAGGUCUUCGGAUUGUAAACCCCUUUCGGGAGGGAAGAUGGGACGGGCAACCGUUCGGACGGUACCUCCAGAAGCAGCCACGGCUAACUUCGUGCCAGCAGCCGCGGUAAUACGAAGGUGGCAAGCGUUGUUCGGAUUUACUGGGCGUACAGGGAGCGUAGGCGGUUUGGUAAGCCCUCCGGGAAAUCUUCGGGCUUAACCCGGAAAGGUCGGAGGGGACUGCCAGGCUAGAGGACGGGAGAGGAGCGCGGAAUUCCCGGUGUAGCGGUGAAAUGCGUAGAGAUCGGGAGGAAGGCCGGUGGCGAAGGCGGCGCUCUGGAACGUUCCUGACGCUGAGGCUCGAAAGCGUGGGGAGCAAACAGG